UGCUCUAUUUCUACAGAAGGAUGUUUUUUUGCGGGGGAGUUGUUUUUUACCGUCACCAGUUCUCUCGCUUUCAAGGGAUUGGAUAUCACGUACGCCUCAAGCAUAUAAAUCAUAUGCAUUUAUCAAAGUCUCCGAUCACGGAAAGAUUGGGAGAGUUUCUCGUCCUCAAGUAAUAGCAGGAUCAACAAUUGGAACCAUCGUUAUUGUCGGACUCGUUGUUGGCUUAUGGAUUGUGCUUUCAAGGAAGAAAAACAAUGGAGUGGAAGGAACGGAAGAUUUCCUUGAUCAACUACAAGGAAUGCCCACGAGAUUCACGUAUGAAGAACUGAAAGCAGCAACUAAGGAUUUCCAUACGAAGCUUGGAAAAGGAGGGUUUGGCUCCGUGUUUGAGGGAAAUUUAGAAACUGGAGAGAAAAUUGCAGUGAAACGUCUAGAGGGUUUAGGCCAAGGGAAGAAGGAAUUCUUGGCAGAGGUCAAGACUAUAGGAAGUAUCCACCAUAUCAACCUGGUGAGACUGAUCGGAUUCUGUGUAGAUAAGCUCAAUUGUCUUUUAGUCUACGAGUUCCUGUGCAACGGGUCCUUGGACAGUUGGAUUUUCCUUAAAGAACCACGACAACCAUCUCUAGAUUGGGAAGGUAGAAGGACAAUUAUCUUGGACAUAGCAAGGGGGCUGGCCUAUCUCCAUGAAGAAUGCAGGCAGAGAAUAAUCCAUUUAGAUAUUAAACCCCAAAACAUCUUGCUUGACGCAAGGCUACGCGCUAAGAUCUCUGAUUUUGGCUUGUCCAAGUUGAUUGACAGGGAUCAAAGUCAAGUGGUGACCACAAUGAGAGGAACUCCUGGGUACUUGGCUCCUGAAUUAUUCAGCUCAGUCAUCACAGAGAAGGCAGAUGUUUAUAGUUUUGGAAUCGUAGUCAUGGAAGUUGUCUGCGGAAAGAAAAAUCUGGAUAGGUCACAGCCAGCUGAGUGCAUGCAUUUGCUCCCUAUUCUUAUGAAGAGGGCACAGGAGGAUCAAUUGAUUGAUAUGGUUGACAAUAGCAGUGAGGAUAUGCAAUUGCACAGGUUAGAAGCUGCGGAGAUGAUGAGGGUUGCUAUUUGGUGUCUGCAAAGUGAUCACACCAGGAGGCCUAGCAUGUCAACCGUGGUUAAGGUCUUAGAGGGCACCAUGGGUGUUGAGGCAGACCUAGACUAUUGCCUUCAGAAUGCAACAACAAUGGCAGCAAUAAGAAGAGAGGCAGUGCUGGGCAGUACUGCCACAUUGCUGCCAUCACUACUAUCAGGACCAAGGUGAAGAAAGAUCUUUUGCGAAAUAUAUGUGGUGUUUAUGUUUCUCUGAUAGGUGUUUUACCUUCAGUUCUCUUUAUAUCGCUAUUGUAAUGUUAUCUGGGAAAUUGUUUAAUUAGCAUAAAGUGUGAUUCUUUAAAGCCAAGACAUGCAAUCAGUUUUCUGUUAAGUUUUUGAGGUAAAGAAUUACUUUUAUAGCCAACAAAGAGCCAAAUAUACAUGAUUCCGGCUAACAUAUUACUAUCAACAUUGUGCUGAUUCUUUUCAGAAAAAUCAUAUCGAAGGCAUUUGAUUGAAUUGUGUUGACUUAGCAUGGAAAAUUGAAGCUACCUCCCCAGAAACCUCUUUUCUUUUCUUUUCUUUUUUCUUGAAGCUGCAAUUUGUCUUCGCAAAUCGCUACUCAUUGCUCAGGAAUAAUGAUGUCAAAGUCACUAACAGUCCAUUCAGCAACUUGAUUAGGGGCCUUGAAUAUUUCAGUUCCUAAAUCAAUGGACAUCCACUGCCUCCUAGCCGGAGAAGUCCCAGGAUCCUGCAAAAUAAGUAAUAGCCGCCAUAUGUUAAUGUCAAAGAGCUUUGUCCAUUUUAACUAUGUCUUGCAAUUACUCACUUAAAGUUGAUCAUACCUUUUUUCAAUGGGAAAAGAAUUAGACCUUAAAUGCUCAAAGCUAAAAUUCUCAAACGAAUCUCAUUCUUUUCAUUGUCGCGGGGGUUGCGACAUCGUCUGGCGACGGCGGAGGCUCUUUGUUGUGCCUUCUGUAUGAGGUGUGGUGUGUUGGGAAGGAUCUUUUGAUUUAAUCAUAAAAUUAUGAUUAAUGUUUAGGAGUUGCCACCUAGUAUUAUGGUCACUAGGAACUUAUGGUCUGCAAAAGUUUGAGUAAGGGACUGGUUGUGCAAGAGAAAGACGCAUCACCCUAGUGCACCUUACCUAAGGUAAGCUGCAUUGUUGUUUGAUUGUUUUUUGUUGGUCUUUUCUAAGGUUCAAGGCAGAUCUCUCUUCAUGAGAGAGUCUCUACCUUAUCGGGUUAAAUCCUAACCGUUCUAAAGUCUGAACUUUAACGUUGCAUUUUUACACUUUGUAUCUUUAAUAUCUGAGGGUGUACUUUAUCAUGUAAUUUUACAGCCCAUAAAUAUUAAAGUCUACAUCUGGACCCUAAAAAAGAUUGGAAAAAGAUUUUUGACAUGUUGGCCAAAUCCUAAUGGAUAAUCAUAAACUGGUUACAAUAUUCAUUUUUUGAUUUUUUCUCAAACUUGAAAAAUAUGCAAUUUUUGUUUUUGUUUUUUUUAUGAAAAAUAUGCUUGGAAAAAUUUUAGGAUUUGGUCGUAUGCAUGAAAAUAAACUUUUUAAGAGAAAAUUAGUUUAAACGUUUUGAGAUUUUUUUUUUAAUAUUUCAGAAAAAACCGGGUAUUUUAAUACCAGAUUUAUAUUUUAUAGUAUAAAUAUACAACCUGAUAUUAUGCAAAAUUGGUUGAAAAUAUUUGAGAAAAUCACAAUUUUUUUUAAAUGAUUUUUUGGAAACUUUUUGGAAUUUUUUUUUUAAAUAUAGUCCACUACAUGAAUAGUGGACAUGAAUUAUAAUUCACGCCACUGUUCACUCAAUGAACAGAGAUGCCAAAGAAGAAGAAGGGGAAGGGGAGAGAAGGCGGACAACCUGGCGCUGCGAUGUUCUGGCCGAGGUUGAUGGUGUGCUACCAAUGGUUUUAGCAGUGGAGCUGGUGGCGGGUGGUAGAGCAGGAAGAAAGAAGAAGAAGAAAACGGGAGGAGCUGCAGAGAGAGACGUUCACAGUGGUUAUUCUGCAGCUGAUGAGGAUUUGGGUUCUUGGGGCGGCUGGGACGCCAUCUGUUGGUGGAGGAGAAAGGCUUCUGUGGGGUCUUUAACAACUGAAGACACGGUGGAGAGAGAAGGAAGAAAAGGAAACUGCAUAAAUGGGGCGAAAAGGCUGGGUUUUGGCCAACUUUAGACCCGAUUUUCCCCUCCCUCAAGCCAUUAACUCCGCCUCUAUUUAUAGGCGGUGGAAGAGGGUAAUCUCAUCUUCACAAGGGAAAAAUUUCAGCUUUUGAUUCUGUUAGGAAGGAUCCUAACCGUUGGCUCAAAGUGGGCAUGGUGCAUUGUCAAAUUUGUAGAAAAAGCUGCCUGAGUUGGCAUGUUUAGGCCGACGUCGUUUGGUUGUCAUUCAGACUAAAAUAUUCACACGGGGAUGUAGAGUGACUGUAGAGGAUCAUUUUCGUGCAAGUUUGGUUAAAUUUGGUGGACGUUUGGUGCAUUAAAUGCACCUGCAAAAUAGGCGAUCGAACCAGCUUUAACCGGGUAAAAGAAGAAGAUAAUGAACAGUGACCAGACGAUGUGUUGUCUGGUCCUCUUUUUUUUUUUUUUUAAUAUGCAAAACAACGCCGUUUUAGGUUUAAAUUAGGGAUUUUUACUGAAUUUCAAUUGAGUCCUUCCUCUUUCAAUUGCUUUCAAUUGAAUCCCUAAUUGACCCUGAACUUUGAAUUUAAUGCAAUUAAGCCCCUUCUAAACUUCAAUUGGAACCCCGAAGUUACGCGCCUUUUACAAUAUGGUCCUUGGUAUUGGAAUUUGUCAAUUUAACCUCUAAUUGAUCAUUAAACUUUCAAUUUCUUUAAUUUAACCCCUGAUUUUUGUUAAUUUCACCCCUAAGGUUUGGUGCCUUUUGCAGAUUGGUCCUUGGCUGCAAAUUUUGUCAAUUUAACCCCCGAGUGACCCCAAAACUUCAAUUUUUCUUGCACAAAAGCAAGUUUUAAAAAAGUCACUAUGAAAAGAAUCAAUCUAUUUUUUUUUUCUAUUGUAAGCAUUAACAAUUUAACAUAUCUGUAACAGUCCGACUGUACGACUUGAUCAAUGUAAAAAAUUCCAACAUAUCCUCUUUAUUUGGGGGAAUUUUUAUUUUAUUUUAAAUUUGGCAGAGUUUCGUUUGCAUUUAGGACAUCCCAAGUUAUUGACUACUGUCAGUUUACUCAAUCAACCCACCAUCACAAGGUCCCAUAAUUCCGGACCUUAUAUCAAACCUCAUAAUUCCACACAAUAUAUAUAUAUAUAUAUAUAUAUAUAUAUAUAUAUAUAUAUCUUAUGAGUAAGAUCAAUAUGAACAUAGUCCAAAUAUCAUAUCAUAAAAUUUAAAAGAAAAUGAAUACUAACAUGCAAAGAAAGUAUUUACAACAUAAUAAGCGUUCCUAAAUGUUUCAAAAGGGUUAAUUACAAGAUAACUAAAAUACUAAAUGAUAAGCUGAAAUUUUAUAAAUACAUUAAGGUUUACACAAAAGUAUACUACAUAACACGUUAAUUCCCUUUUGUUUAAGUUAAAUAUUUACAUAAGCUUUCAUAAAGUAGAGUUCUAAACUAAUGAUUUUCCUGGAUGUUUGAUGGACCUGUUACAUAAAUAAACAUACUAUUAUGUUGAUAAAGAAUAUAUGUAUGCUCAUGUAAUGAAUACGAAUGAAGUAUUAACUUUCUUUUGAAUCCAUGAGAAUUCUAACAAGGAACUUAUAUUUUACUUGUAAAUCUCUUAAACCCAAUUAACACUCAUUUGUAUAUUCUUAGUUGAAUAAUCUUAUUUACUUGCAUACACUGGGUGACCUUGCAAAAUCUAAUCUUGUAAUUCAUUUCCCGGCAAUCUUAUCACAAAUGCCAUUAGCCGAAGCUAAUCUUGUAAAUCAUCUUCCAGCAAUCCUAUCACGGAUGUCAUUAGCUAAUCUUGUAAUUCACAUCCCGGCAAUCCUAUUACGAAUGCCAUUAGCCGAAGUUAAUCUUGUAAUUCACAUCCCGGCAAUCCUAUCAUGAAUGCCAUUAGCCGACGCUAAUCUUGUAAUUCACAUCCCGACAAUCCUAUCAUGAAUGCCAUUAGCCGAAGCUAAUUUUGUAUUUACGCUAGAUUUUAUUUACAUUGAACACGACAUUUACUGUAAUUGCAUACACCAUAUAAAUUUUAAAUUAUAUAAGUGCAAAAUAGGAGGAAAAUCAUGCACCUGCUUCGCCUGUCUCGCGACCUCCCCUAACAGAAGAUCCAAUCCUAGUUGCUCCUCAUGAAUCACAAGGAAGUUUUUUUUUUUUUUUUUUGGUUAUGAUUCCUUCAAGCCGAUAUUAUAGAGAAUUCAUAUUCAUCCAUUACUCAUAUGUUACUUUCGAUGCAUGUUCAUUUCCUUAUAAUAACAUACAUACAUAUCUCAUAUAUAUUUUCAAAGUUAAUAUCUCAAUGUGUAAGCGUUCGUAUGACUCAAUUCUUUUAUAUUCUUAUUUACAGUAUUCACGUGAAAGUCUAUUGUUAUUGUCUAAUUUCCAACUAUUACUGUCUAAUUUUAAACUUUCACUGUCCGACUUUGAACCGUUAUUGUCUGACUUUUAACUGUCACUGUCCAAUUUCCAACCGUUACUGUUUGACUUUGAACCGUUAUUGUCUGUCUUUGAACCGUCACUGUCCAAUUUCCAACUGUCACUGUCCGACUUUGAACCGUUACUGUUUGACUUUCAACUGUCACUGUCCAAUUUCCAACCGUCACUGUCUUACUUUCAACCGUGACUGUCUGACUUUGAACUGUCACUGUCCAAUUUCCAACUGUCAUUGUCCAAUUUCCAACUGUCACUGUCUUACUUUCAACCGUGACUGUCUGACUUUGAACUGUCACUGUCCAAUUUCCAACUGUCAUUGUCCAAUUUCCAACUGUUACUGUCCGAACACUCAUCAGGUUUUUAACUAUAUCUAAUGUUCUAAAACUCCAUUUUAAGUGAGAUUUAUCUCGUUAGAAAGCUAAGACACGAGGCUACCAGUUCUCUGAGGAAGGAGAACCCAGUUUUGCCUCUAAGAUAGUCAAAAUUGCUCAUCAACUAAUCAGUCCUGCUGUCCUACAUAAUCAGUCACGACUCAGUUUCAGUUGGUAACCCAUAACUGGAGUUCUACAUCUCCAAAUUGAGCAAGACUAGUUUCCUUGGUUAGCUAACAUUUAAAUCUACAAUUUUUAUAAGGAAUCCAAUCCUAAUUCCCUCAUCCUUUUAUUCAAAAUCUCACUGAAAGUCAGCAGACAAUUAUGUCCAGAGUUGUCUCCCCCUCCCCUUCACACAAUACUUUCAUAAACUACAUACCACACACAUAAAUUAACUUAAUCUCAACAAUAAGUACUUUUUUCCCAAUUUAUGUUUAAGAACCCUAACCUAUGAUUCAAUAUCAAGACAUCAAUUCUUUAUCGAAUUUAAAAAUGAUAUAUAUUUUUUUAAAAUCAUGUUUAGAAUACUUUACCCGGUACAUUAAGAUCUUGAUCUUCAACCAGUUGAAUAUUUUCAACUCCCUCCUUUCUUUUCUUCUUGUUCAAUUUCUUGGUAAUCCUUUGCUCUCAAGUGUUUAUCCCAUCUAUAAGCUCUAAAUCUUGGAUGGGUUAUUGAAGUGUUAGUGUUUCUCUCUUGAUUUCUCAAGAAUGAGUAUAAAACUCCCUAUCCUCUCUUCUUAUGGUUCCUACUGAUUUUGUUUUGGUGAGGAGAUAGUGUUUAUACUCUAUAUCUUCUCUUAUUUGCAUUUAGGCCACCUUUUUCCCUUAAGUGUAUUAUUAUUAUUAUUUCCUUCAAUUAAAUCCAACCCUCAACAGUACUGAGUUCAUUAUAAUAUCUCAAAUUAUUUCACCCGGAAAUUCAUAUUAAAAAAUUUCUGAAUUCCUAUUUUUUUUAUUUAACAAAAUGCAUGAAUUUCUUCACUUUUAUUUUAUUUAUUUAUUUAUUAUUUUUUUCUUGGGGUUUACAAUAUAUUUACCAAGGGAGAUUUAGUUUUUUUCCCUUAGUUACUAAUGAGUAUUUGUUUUGUCCUUAUAAUAUGCUUUUUAAAGUAUUUUUAGAUAUUUUUGGAUGAUUUUGAUAUUUAUAUUAAAAAUAUUAUUUUAAUAUAUUUUUAAUUAAAAAUCACUUCUAGUUAUAAUACCAAACACCCAGUACUGCUGUUGAGGGCUAUCCCUUGCUAUGAUGGUGCAUAACCUAGGUUAUUAUGCCUUGUUUGUUUUUGCGUUUCAGAAGCAUUAUUGAAAAAAAUUAAAUUUUUUUUUGCUUCAAAUUAAUAUUUUUUUGGUGUUUUCAAAUCAUUUUAAUAUGCUAAUAUCAAAAAUUAUUUUUUGAAAAUAAAAAUUUUUUAUUUUAAUAUAUUUCUAAUAAAAAAAAUACUUUAAAAAAUAAUAACUACCCUAUUUUUAAAUAUUUCUGAAAAGAAAUGGUUGUUCUCUUACGAAAAUUCAAAAGGAAAAGCUAGCCUUCCAAAUAGUCGUGUUCAAAAUCUGGUUUCAUUGGUUGGAAUUUGGAACCUAGUUGAUAAAAAUAAUAUCAGGGUCAUUAUCCAACGACAGUUGGCCGUGACCGAAGGGGUAAAAUUAAUUAAGAAACUGAGCAAGGACCAUAGGCCGACGGCUCUGGGAACGAAAGUAUUUAUCACGGGUCAAUCCUUGUAGGGAUGAUAGACCAUUCUUUACGUCAACAAAUCGUUUUCAAUGAUCUUGUUAUAUCAAAGUUAAUUGUAUUUACGGUUUGUGGAUUCAAAAUGAUGUAUUGAAGUAAAUUAUUAGCUAAUGCUGGCAUAGCAGCUUUUGAACAUGGCUGUACUGCAGCUUUUGAUCAUCUUAUGGUCUCUACCAUACCUCCUGGAAGCACAAAUUCAUUAUGCUGACACAGCACAAGUAUCCACAUCAUGGACAAAUAAUAACAUCUCCUUACCAUCAAUCUCUAGUGCCAAUCGGAUCAUUCUGUUGAAUGAGAUUGGUUUUGCUUGUGGAUUCUACACCGGCUAUUAUGGGGUUUUUUUCGCCGUCUAAUAUGGUCGGCGAGCAGAAAUAAGCCUGUUUGCGAGAAUGCAACUCUGCAGUUUCUCCCAGAAGGAAAUUUGGUCCUGAGAGAUGCAGAUGGGACUCUGGCUUCAUCUGUAAAUUUGACUGGUAGGUCUCCCGGAAGGUUAUUAUUAUUAUUAUUGUGUUUUUUUACGAGUAUCCACACCUCUUUUUACGUCAAGCAUCCUUGAAUAUGAGUCAAUUUUCCAUGCCUGUCAUUCUCGUUCUCGGCUGUUGGGUCUUUAAUGGCUGCAUGCCGUAUUUGACGAGGACUAUUUAAGUAUUAUUCUCGACCUUUUAUUUAUUUAUUUUGGAUUUUUUCUGCUGGUGGGUCUAUAAUGUUUUCUUAUAACGGAAAUCUGUAAACAGAAACAUUUUAUUUAUUUUCCGCGUCAAGAACGUUAAGUAACACAAUCACCCACUUUUUUUUAACUCCCACUCCACUAGAUCUCGCUCCUUCUGCUGUUAAUCCAAUUCCAAAUAUUUAUGGAGAAAAAAAUAUUAAUCUUUAUUUACAACGUUGGUUAAUUACAAUUAGUACAAUGAUAUCAAUUUCUUCUCUUAUACUAAAAUAAUGAUACCAAUUCUAGAUAUUAUAUAUGAAUUAUGUUAUGUUAUGUAUGAAAAAUACUAAAAAAAAAGAUAGGUUAAUUUGGUCAUCCCAUAAAAUUAUAUAUGGAGUGAGAUUAAAACUUAAGGAAUAGGAAUAGCACUGCACAAAAUAUUAAUGAUAUUUAUUAUUUAUAGUAUAUGGUCAAUGAAGUGUCAUGAUUUAUCGAGUGAUUUCCAAUGAAAUUUGAAGCACAUACCAGCUUAAUUCUAAGUUUGCUAGAAGAAUUAUUUGAUUUUUGAACAAAUUCAUAAGCACUUAGGCACAAUCUACUCUUUUUUUCUUUAAAAAAAAAUUGUAUAAAGAACAACUAAAUAUUUAUUAAAAUUAAGAAAUCAACACAUUAAAUAAAAUUGUACUGUUCUCUACAACAAAUUGUGGAGAUCCCAAAAGAAAAGUGAGAGCGAGAUGUGCUUCCGGGACAUGUUAAAAUUAAGAAAUUAACACGUUAAAAAAACUUUCAAUAUGCCUUGUAUAUGUUUGAUAUGUAAAUUGACAUAUUUAAUAUCAAUUCAAUCUUGAGUAUGAACCUAUUCUCCAAUGUCACUUUCAUUUGCUCCAAAUGGGAAGAUAAUGCUUGGAUUUUUAUUUUUUUGUCUCAAGUAAAAUUACUUGAAGUUAAAAGAAAAGUCACGAUGGGUAUUGCGAGGAAAUCAUACAACAAGAAUCGUAAACUCUUGAGGGUAAACAUGUCCGCUAUCCAUGGCUGGUAAUAAGGACGGGGAAAUUAAAGAAUUUUCAUUGAUGGGGCAAAGCAUCACGUUUUGUGUUAAAAAACAGGGAAGCUUCCCAAGUCCUAUGGCUGCUGCUGCACUGCGUUCAUUUGGUGUUGUAUAGCAACAGCAUUUAUUUAUCUGUAUUACAUUCCAGAGUAAUACCAAACAAAAAUAGCAGAGCUCAUGGCUAUAUGGCCUUUGAGUGAUAUCCUGCUAGUGCAGCUUUUGAUCAUGUUAUGUCCUGCAUACUUCCUAGAAGCUCAAACUUCUUACUCCACAGCACAAAAAUACACAUCAUGGACAAACAAUUUGUCCAUUCCAGCGAGAGGCUUUGAUUCCUACCAAAUGAUCUUGAUGAGUGAGUCUGUGUCUUUUGCUUGUGGAUUUUACUCCAAAGACCAGGAAAAUGAUUCCUUUUAUUUUGCAGUUGUAUCACUCCAUGUAACAUAUCAUGUAGAAGCUAUUCUUAAUUUCACUCUUCAGCAUGUCAUAUGGUUGGCAAAUGAAAAUAAGCCUGUUGGACGGAACGCAACUCUAAAGUUACUUCCAGAAGGAAAUUUGGUUCUGAGAGAUGCAGAUGGAGCUUUAGUCUGGUCUACCAACACGUCUAACAUGUCUGUUGCAGGUAUAAAGAUGAUGAAAACAGGGAUGCUUGUGCUUCAAGACCACAAUAAUAAGACUGUGUGGCAAUCUUUCAGUAACACAGCACAUGUGUCCACUUCAUGGACGAAUAAUGAUCCCAUAUCAGCCAUGCCUUAUAAUCUAUAUAAAAUAAUCAUGAUGCACGGAGCUGGUUUUUCUUGUGGAUUUUACUCCAAGGACCGGAAUUUCUUCUAUUUUGCAAUAUGGAAGCAGUUGGAAUAUUCUGGAGAUGAUGAUCCGGAGGCCUUAUGGUUAGCAAACAGAAACAGGCCUGUUCGUCAGAACGCAACUUUACAAUUUUUACCAGAUGGAGAUUUGGUUCUGAGAGAUGCAGAUGGAGCUUUAGUCUGGUCUACCAACACGUCUAACAUGUCUGUUGCGGGUAUGAGGAUGAUGGAAACAGGGAUGCUUGUGCUUCAAGACCACAAUAAUAAGAUUGUGUGGCAAUCUUUUGGUAAUACAGCACAUGUGUCCACUUCAUGGACGAAUAAUGAUCCCAAAUCAGCCAUUCCUUAUAAUCUAUGCAACAUAAUCGUGAUGCACGGAGCUCGUUUUUCUUGUGGAUUUCACUCCAAGGACCGGAAUUCCUUCUAUUUUGCAAUAUGGAAGCAGUCGGAAUAUUCUGGAGAUGAUGAUAUUCCGGAGGCCUUAUGGUUAGCAAACAGAAACAGGCCUGUUCGUCAGAACGCAACUUUACAAUUUUUACCAGAUGGAGAUUUGGUUCUGAGAGAUGCAGAUGGAGCUUUAGUCUGGUCUACCAACACGUCUAACAUGUCUGUUGCGGGUAUGAGGAUGAUGGAAACUGGGAACCUUGAGCUUUAUGAUGUCAAUAACAAGACUGUUUGGAAUUCAUUUGAUCAUCCUUCUGAUGUACUGCUUCUUGGGAACAAAUUAGUGCCAGGACAGAAGCUGGUGGCAAGUGUUUCGAAAACUAAUAGAUCUGAAGGUGUCUUCAGCCUCUCUGUGAUCCCACAAGGUUUGUUUGCUUCUUACCAAGCUACUGCGCCACAAACGUACUUCAAAUUUUCAGUUUUUGGGGGCAUAGACAGCCUCCAACUAAGUCAUGAUGAAUCCUCUGGUGAUCUUGCUUUACUUAUAAUAUCAGCUUCACCUGAUGAGCCGAAUACAAUGCUUACAAGCACCAUUAAAUAUUCAGCGACGGCUUACAUGAAAUUUGAUCCUGAUGGGCAUCUCAGAAUUUAUGAUGGCAACAUGAGUGACGGGGUUGAUCUGUUGACAGAUAUGAUGAGUGCAUGUGAUUACCCAACAGCUUGUGGUAAUUAUGGGCUGUGCUCAAAUGGACAGUGCUCGUGCCCAGUAGGAUUUGUUCGAGCCAAUACCCCAAAUGAUCAAGGCAACUACAAUUGCUGGCAGAUGAGUCCAACCACAUGUGAAAAUCCAAAAUCCCAUUCUCUUCUUCCCCUGGAAGAUGUCUACUAUUUCAAUUAUGUUGACCCUGAGGCAGCGGUCCUGAAAGGAACAGACAUGAAGAGUUGUAAAGAUGCAUGUUUGAAAAACUGUGCAUGCUACGCUGCUCUAUUUCAGUAUUACGUUAAUAAUUCUCUUGGAAAUUGUUUUUUGCCCUCACCAGUUCUUACACUAAUGGGUGAUGGUAAGGAAAGAAACAAUUUCCAAUCUUAUGCCAUCAUCAAAAUUUCUAAUGAUGGAGAGAAUGGAAGUGCUUUUUCAUCUUCUAUCAAUCCUACAUCUUCUAUCAAUCCUAAAGUAAUAGCAGGAUCAACUAUUGGAGCCAUCCUUGUUAUGAGUUUAAUUGUUGGUCUAUGUAUUAUGGUUUGGAGGAAGAAAAGAGAUCGAGAGGAAGGAAUGGAAGACUUGAAUCAACUAUCAGGAAUGCCCAUGAGAUUCACAUACCAAGAACUAAGAGUGGCAACUUGGGAUUUUGAGAAGAAGCUUUGGAGGAGGAGGGUUUGGAUCAGUUUUUGAAGGAAUUCUAGAAAAUGGAGAAAAAAUUGCAGUAAAGCGCCUAGAUGCUUUAGGCCAAGGGCAGAAGGAAUUCUUGGCUGAGGUCAAAAGUAUAGGAAGCAUCCAUCAUGUCAGCCUGGCGAGGCUAAUUGGAUUCUGUGCUGAUAAAUUGCAUACGCUUUUAGUCUAUGAGUUCAUGUGCUGUGGGUCUUUGGAUAAGUGGAUUUUCUGCAGGGAACCACUACUACAUCCUCUGGACUUCCAAACUAGAAGAAACAUUAUCAUGGAUGUAGCAAAGGGGCUGGCCUAUCUCCAUGAAGAAUGCAGACAAAGAAUAGUCCACUUAGACAUCAAACCACAAAACAUUUUGUUGGAUGAAAAUCUGCAUGCUAAGAUCUCUGAUUUUGGCUUGUCUAAGUUGAUUGACAGGGAUCAAAGUCAAGUGGUGACCACAAUGAGAGGAACUCCUGGGUACUUGGCUCCUGAAUUAUUCAGCUCAGUCAUCACAGAGAAGGCAGAUGUUUAUAGUUUUGGAAUCGUAGUCAUGGAAGUUGUCUGCGGAAAGAAAAAUCUGGAUAGGUCACAGCCAGCUGAGUGCAUGCAUUUGCUCCCUAUUCUUAUGAAGAGGGCACAGGAGGAUCAAUUGAUUGAUAUGGUUGACAAUAGCAGUGAGGAUAUGCAAUUGCACAGGUUAGAAGCUGCGGAGAUGAUGAGGGUUGCUAUUUGGUGUCUGCAAAGUGAUCACACCAGGAGGCCUAGCAUGUCAACCGUGGUUAAGGUCUUAGAGGGCACCAUGGGUGUUGAAGCAGACCUAGACUAUUGCCUUCAGAAUGCAACAACAACGGCAGCAAUAAGAAGAGAGGCAGUGCUGGGCAGUACUGCCACAUUGCUGCCAUCACUACUAUCAGGACCGAGGUGAAGAAAGAUCUUUUGCGAUAUAUAUGUGGUGUUUAUGUUUCUCUGAUAGGUGUUUUACCUUCAGUUCUCUUUAUAUCGCUAUUGUAAUGUUAUCUGGGAAAUUGUUCAAUUAGCAUAAAGUGUGACAGGAAAGCAUGAAAAACUGCAAGAAACUGCAAUGAUUAUAACUUCUCUGGCAUUUAAAGCCAAGACAUGCCAUCAGUUUUCAGUUAAGUUUUUGAGGUAAAGAAUUACUUUUAUAGCCAAC
Molecule: long non-coding RNA, 13139 nt
Filed under: Populus tremula
Lineage: Eukaryota; Viridiplantae; Streptophyta; Magnoliopsida; Malpighiales; Salicaceae
Description: long non-coding RNA (PTRE_LNC002142)
Source: RNAcentral